AUUGAACGCUGGCGGCAUGCUUUACACAUGCCAGUCGAACGGCAGCGCGGGCUUCGGCCUGGCGGCGAGUGGCGAACGGGUGAGUAAUGCAUCGGAACGUGCCCAGUAGUGGGGGAUAGCCCGGCGAAAGCCGGAUUAAUACCGCAUACGACCUGAGGGUGAAAGCGGGGGACCGAAAGGCCUCGCGCUAUUGGAGCGGCCGAUGUCGGAUUAGCUAGUUGGUGGGGUAAAGGCUUACCAAGGCGACGAUCCGUAGCUGGUCUGAGAGGACGACCAGCCAAACUGGGACUGAGACACGGCCCAGACUCCUACGGGAGGCAGCAGGGGGGAAUUUUGGAAAAUGGGGGCAAACCUGAUCCAGCCAUGCCGCGGGCGGGAAGAAGGCCUUCGGGUUGUAAACCGCUUUUGUUCGGGAAGAAAUCCUCUGGGCUAAUACCCCGGGGGGAUGACGGUACCGGAAGAAUAAGCACCGGCUAACUACGUG
This 484-nucleotide ribosomal RNA is filed under the name uncultured bacterium. RNAcentral's name for it is "partial 16S ribosomal RNA". It matches the Rfam family "Bacterial small subunit ribosomal RNA", at positions 29 to 507 of the family's 1533-position model. The record is from RNAcentral.